RNAcentral lists this ribosomal RNA (491 nucleotides) under uncultured bacterium. RNAcentral describes it as "partial 16S ribosomal RNA". It matches the Rfam family "Bacterial small subunit ribosomal RNA", at positions 29 to 507 of the family's 1533-position model. The record is from RNAcentral.
GUGAACGCCGGCGGUAGGCCUAACACAUGCAAGUCGAACGGCAGCACAGUAAGAGCUUGCUCUUACGGGUGGCGAGUGGCGGACGGGUGAGGAAUACAUCGGAAUCUACUUUUUCGUGGGGGAUAACGUAGGGAAACUUACGCUAAUACCGCAUACGACCUACGGGUGAAAGCAGGGGAUCUUCGGACCUUGCGCGAUUGAAUGAGCCGAUGUCGGAUUAGCUAGUUGGCGGGGUAAAGGCCCACCAAGGCGACGAUCCGUAGCUGGUCUGAGAGGAUGAUCAGCCACACUGGAACUGAGACACGGUCCAGACUCCUACGGGAGGCAGCAGUGGGGAAUAUUGGACAAUGGGCGCAAGCCUGAUCCAGCCAUACCGCGUGGGUGAAGAAGGCCUUCGGGUUGUAAAGCCCUUUUGUUGGGAAAGAAAAGCAGCAGGUUAAUACCCCGCUGUUCUGACGGUACCCAAAGAAUAAGCACCGGCUAACUUCGUG